Molecule: small nucleolar RNA, 91 nt
Organism: Hemicordylus capensis (graceful crag lizard)
Lineage: Eukaryota; Metazoa; Chordata; Lepidosauria; Squamata; Cordylidae
Product: small nucleolar SNORD12/SNORD106
Exons: 1
Source: RefSeq, a predicted model, not a curated record
ACUGGUGUAUAUGAUGACUAAACUUUUUUCCCCAUCAGAGCGAAAGUGUUGACCUCUUCGCUGUUAGCCAGAAACUGUCUGAUACACCAGU